UGAGGAAUAUUGCGCAAUGGGGGCAACCCUGACGCAGCGACGCCGCGUGAGUGAGGAAGGCCUUCGGGUCGUAAAGCUCUGUCAAAGGGAAAGAAGUGUGCAAUGGCUAAUACCUGUUGCAUUUGACGGUACCCUUAAAGGAAGCACCGGCUAACUCCGUGCCAGCAGCCGCGGUAAUACGGAGGGUGCAAGCGUUGUUCGGAAUCACUGGGCGUAAAGGGCGCGCAGGCGGUUUGAUAAGUCAGAUGUGAAAGCCCAUGGCUUAACUGUGGAAGUGCAUUUGAAACUGUCAGACUUGAGUAUCAGAGGUGAAAGUGGAAUUCCCGGUGUAGAGGUGAAAUUCGUAGAUAUCGGGAGGAAUACCGGUGGCGAAGGCGACUUUCUGGACUGUGUCUGACACUGAGGCGCGAAAGCCAGGGUAGUGAACG
RNAcentral lists this ribosomal RNA (428 nucleotides) under uncultured prokaryote. Its description in RNAcentral is "bacterial SSU rRNA". It matches the Rfam family "Bacterial small subunit ribosomal RNA", at positions 355 to 774 of the family's 1533-position model. The record is from RNAcentral.